GGCAUCAGGCCCACCCUCACCGCACAGGUGGGGCCUCAGGCCUGGGAGCGUGACCGACUGGCCCCCAGUCUUUCCACCAGCCAGGAGUAAGGUCGGGACUAGACUCCUGACUCGCUGACCACCAUACCUACAGCCAUUCCCUCACUCUCCUUCAAUGACCUCAAGUGGGGGCAAAAGAGCGGCUGCCAUGACCUCAAGGACUCUCAGAUGCAUGGCAAACGGCAGGUCUGACCGUGCCGGAAAGGGUCCAGGGGAAGGCUGCUGCCUCCAUCCUCGGGCCAGGACAUGAAGGGGCAUCAACGUCAGGGCAGAAAACAGGAGCAAUGGGAGGUCCUGAGUGAAUCCUGCAACAGAGAAACUCUUGCCUGCACCCUCUCCUCUGUCCCCCCUCCACCGCCCCAUCUCAAUGCCACAGGCUGAACCGGAGACCUGUCUUGAUGCCAGAGGGGGCCAGCAAUUGCCCAAAGAAUGCGGAGCUCCCCCUGGUUUGUUGCUGGGGGCCCUUAAUCCCAGUGCUGUGCUGGAGCUGGCUUGUAACAUUCAAUAGAACCAAGCGUUAAAUGUGCUCAGAUUUUGUGAGCCAGUUGUAAAUAUAGGCAUUAUUCACAAUUAAUCAUAUGAACUUAUAAUCAAAUAUGUUAACAAACACCCCUUCCCAAUGAGUUUUACUACUUUUGCUAUUUUCUAUGCUUUGAGGGUUACUUGCAUCUAUUAUAUCAAUGCCGUGGGAAGAGUAUAUAGUGACAGCUACUGGGCAUCUCUUCCCAAGCCCACAAUCUGUGACGUCACAUUGAAAGCUUGGGAUUGGCCAUGAUAGGAGUAUUUACACCAUGGAAGUUGGCAAACACUGCAAAUCAGAGCUUGUGUUAUUGUUUUGUUGAUUUUCUAGGCUUAAGAAAGUAAUAAAAAAUUGUUAAUAGUACAGAUUCAACUUAUAAGUGGGUCAUGUCUGGGGCCAUUUGUAGCAGUCUGGCUCUAAUCGGGAGACAGAAAUCACACAGCAGGUUAAACAGGGGAAAUUUAAGUUAAAAUUAUUAACAGUUGUAAAACAGUAAGAUAGGCCGGGCGCGGUGGCUUAUGCCUGUAAUCCUAGCACUUUGGGAGGCCGAGGUGGGCGAAUCAUGAGGUCAGGAGUUCGAGACCAGGCUGACCAACACAGUGAAACCCCAUCUGUACUAAAAAUACAAAAAUUAGCCAGGCCUGGUGGCAGGUGCCUGUAAUCCCAGCUACUCGGGAGGGUGAGGCAGGAGAAUCGCUUGAACCCAGGAGGCAGAGGUUGCAGUGAGCCGAGAUCAUACCCCUGCACUCCAGCCUGGGCAACAGAGCAAGACUCUGUCUCAAAAAAAAAGAGUAAGAUAAAAAGAAGCUCUAUGCAGUAUCCUAGGGCUGAGGGAGCUCCCAAAGUAAAAAUGAAGUUGUUUGGGGUUCAGACAUAGCUGGAGAGGGUGUGGUUCAGCCACUGGAUAGCAAUGAAGUUUAGCCCAGAGCACACAGCUACAGCUGGUUUGGAGUUGGUGGACACACAAUAGGCACCCUCUGGAGGGCAGGCAGGGAACAGGUGAUUAGUAACCAAAGGCGUGAACUGCAGUGGGAAACUGAGUGCCCCCAGGGCAGAAGGCCUUCUGGGUGCUGAGGUUGCUUGGCGGGUGGAGAGGUUGCAGAGGAAGUGGCAGGCUGCGUAGUGAGGUCGGAGGCCAGCUGCUGUGUAGACAGUCACCGCCAGGCAUGGCCACAGAGUCAUUGUGUUCUGGCUCUGAGGCUCCGUCCGACUCCACGGGAUAGUCUCCGCUUGGCUGACCUUCCUGGAAAUUACAGGAAAGUCCUUCCAGCACCGUCUACUGAGAAAGCUUCACAUCCUGUUCACUUUAAAUUCAAAAUGGUUAAAAGGUUCCAAUCUUUGUCCUAAAGCACAUAUUGAAAGGUGCAUUCAGAGCUGAGAUGCAAUAGAUUAAAAACUGCCUGUGUGAGUUUCCUGUGGCUGCUGUAACAAAUUACCAAAAACCUGGUGCUUACAACAAGGCACAUUUGUUCUCUUACAGUUUUGGAGGUCAGAAGUCCCAAAUCAGUUUCAGCAGGAUGGAAUCAGGGUGCCAUGAGGGCCGCUCCCUCCAGAGGCUCCAGGGGGGUCUGUUUCCUUGCCUUUUCCAGCUUCUAGAGCUGCAUUCCUUGGCUCGUGGCCCCUUCCUCCGCCUUCAAAGGCAGUGGCUUAGCGUCUUCAAAAUUCUCUCCACGCUGUCUUCUCAUGGCCUUCUCUUCUAUGUCAGAUUUCCCUCUAUCCUCUCUUAUCAGGACAUUUGUGAUUGCAUUUGGGACCCACCCAUGUAAUCCAGGAUAAUGUCUCCUUCUCAAGAUCCUCAACUCAAUCACAUCUGCAAAGUCCCUUUUGCCACAUAAGAUACAUUUGCAGGCUUCAUAGAUUCAGAUCUGCGUAUAUUAUUUGAGGGCCAUUAUUUAACCUACUACACUGAUGCACCCCUAUAUUGUGACAAGCAAAAAAAUUGAGGAUUUAUUCUUCCAGUGCUUAAAAACUGUGGCCUGAUUGAUUCAGCAAGGAAGUCACUUGUGACAUUGAUGAAUAAGUGAACUUCUGAUAUUCGCCUUCAUUGUCUCACUUUUACUUGUUAACAUAAAUGAAAAUAUCAGCCUCAUGAGAAUGAAACGAAAUGAAAAUAGCCAACCCUCAUGUGUAAAGCACACUUAGUCAUCAUAUGCAAACAGACAUAGGCUGUAGAUACAAGAGUUUGGAAAAACUCAACAAAGGCAUUCUGUGAGGAUCAACCAACUAUAUGCAGCUUAUAAUAAAGGAUAUUGUAUCAUUAUGUUUUGUUGUACAUUCUUUAUAUCAGUAACAUUUAUAAUAAAUUAUCUCUUCAUUUAUAUGUGUAUGUACACCCCACACACACACACACACACACACACACACACACACACACACACACACAAUCUUUCCCUCCAGAGGGCCAGCUGUUGAGCAUUUAUCAGCCCACCACUGCUUAAUACUUAUUUCCAGUAGGGAGGUAGAGGGAGCCUAAGGCCCCCGAAAAGGUAAAGUGCUCUUUGCACCUGAGGGUGGACCUUGCAGUCCCGAGCUCUAUGGUGAGCCUGUCACCCACCGUGGUCAGCUACCUCCAUCCACAGAUGGUUAAAUGGAUCUGGAUCAACCACCUCCGAGGAUGCCUGUGUUUCAGCGGAAGAUGAGGCUAGUGUGAACUUGGCCUUUACAUCCUUCUCCGCAGAGCACUGCAAGCAGCCAGUCCCACUGGAACAUAAGAUGAAGCUUUUGUUCCCAUGGCUGGAUACACUUUGGAUCUUGGAAUGCAAUAAUUACUUCAGCUGGAUCUGGUUCGUGGAGUACUUGGCCAGGGCUCUGCCUCAUGCCAUGGUCCUACAAGAUAUGUGAGGAGGUGGACAUCUUUGCGUAGCCCUCCUCCAGAGGCAAGUGGAUUCCUUCCAUAACCCAGAGAAGGCCGCUUGGGAAUGAGGCUGAGAAGCCAGACUUUUUGGCACACAAAGAAAAAGGGAGUUUUCAAAGUUGCCGCAAAUCAUGCAGGAAGAGAAAACAGGACAUUAGUGGACACUGAUUCUUCCCCUCUGCUGAACUCUGAGUCCAGUUUAAAUCUUUAAUAACAUAACACAUGGAGAAAAUUGCU
RNAcentral lists this long non-coding RNA (3650 nucleotides) under Homo sapiens (human). Its description in RNAcentral is "long intergenic non-protein coding RNA 2348". The record is from RNAcentral. Lineage: Eukaryota; Metazoa; Chordata; Mammalia; Primates; Hominidae.